This 578-nucleotide long non-coding RNA is filed under the name Homo sapiens (human). RNAcentral describes it as "HSALNT0296065". The record is from RNAcentral. Lineage: Eukaryota; Metazoa; Chordata; Mammalia; Primates; Hominidae.
CCUUUGCCCAGCACACCUGUCACUCACCUCAACCCUUUCUCUCUUUUCCCCAUCUUUCUGUGGCUAGCUCCUCCUCAUUCUUUAGGUCUCAGUGUAGAUAGCACCACUAUCAGGAAGGAGUCCAGACACUGCCAGGCCUAAGAAAUGUAAAUUAAAUGCUCUCAAGGGAUGAGAGACACUGGAAGCUGGGACGCUCUUGGAACUCUGUUGCCAUCAUCAAGGUCAGCAGUCCAACUACCAGGGCCAGAGCCCCAUCAAAGAAUCUUCAGUGCCAGCCAGAAAGAAUGAUGAACUCCUCGUGUAAAGGGAGUUUGGGGCAACCAGUCAAACCAUGGCCUCAUGGGAAGCAGCUGACUAGGCAAUGAGAGAGGAAUACAAAAGACAAGGCACUGCGAAGCCAAGUCUGGUUGGGGAGAAGAAACCAAUAUGCCUGAAACAGGGAACCAGAAAGGACUCAGACAAAACUGCUGACAAGUAUGGGGUUUCUUGGGGUAGGUGGUGAAAAUAUUCCAAAAUAAGAUUAUAGCGAUGUUUUAAUAAUCCCCUGGAUAUAAUAAAAAAACAUCGAAUUGUACACU